AUACUUACCUGGCAGGGGAGAUACCAUGAUCACGAAGGUGGUUUUCCCAGGGCGAGGCUUAUCCAUUGCACUCCGGAUGUGCUGACCCCUGCGAUUUCCAAAAAAAAACAAAAACCAAAAAAAAACAAAAAAAAAGAAUGUCUACUAGUGGGGCACCUGUGUGACUCAGU
This is a non-coding RNA of Callorhinus ursinus (northern fur seal), 170 nucleotides long. Lineage: Eukaryota; Metazoa; Chordata; Mammalia; Carnivora; Otariidae. The record is from RefSeq and is a predicted model, not a curated record.